GAGAAAUGCUAGCUUGGGGGAUGGGAUGAGGCAGGCAAAAUGAAGCUGUCUUCUUUCUCUUCUUGUGUGGUUAUUCUCAGGGUUUUUUGUUCUGCUGUGUUGCUGGAAUUUCUUAAGUGGGCCCCAGAGCUUUCCCAGAGCUGUUUUCGUUCGUGGAUAGCUGUCUAAGUGUUGAUCUUUGUGGGGAGACAGAGGCUGGGGUCUCCUACUUUGCCAUUUUGGUGACUUCACCUCAGAAAUGCUUUAGUUCCAUCCUUGUGAGCGUGAAGUGGUAUCUCAUUGUGGUUUUGGUUUGCGCUUCCCCAACAAUUGGAUAUAGAAGAUUAGCCCUGAGCAAACAUCUGCUGCCAAUCCUCCUCUUUUUGCUGAGAAAGACUGGCUCUGAGCUAACAUCCGUGCCCAUCUUCCUCUACUUUAUGUGGAAUGCCUGCCACAGCAUGGCUCAACGGGCGGUCUGUAGGUUCACAACCGGGAUUCAAACCAGCGUACCCUGGGCUGCCGAAGCAGAACGUGCAAACUUAACCACUGUGCCACCAGACGAUCCCAACCCUCCUGCUUUUUUUUGGGUUUAAAUUUCAUCUAUUUUUCUAAUUCUUGAAAUGGAUGCUUAGAUAAUUGAUUUUCAGCAUUUUUCCUUUCUUAUAUACAUUUAAAGAUAUGACUAUCCAUUAAAGCAUGGUUUAACUGCAACUUACAAUUUUCAAAGUAUAAUAUUUUAAUAAUUAUUAGUUCACAUAUUUUCUGUUAUGAUAUUUUCUUUAACAUAUACUUGACUUAUAGUGCAUUUCUUAAUUUCUCUUUAUUUCUUAAUAUGUAUUAAUUUCCAAAUAUGUGGUGAUCUUUAGUUAUCUAUCUCUUGUUAAUUUCUCACUUAAUUGCACUGUGGUACUGGACAUAUUAUAUACCAUAUCAAUCUUUUGAAAGUUUUUGAUAUUUCAUAGCAUAGCUUAUAAUCAAUUUUUUGCAAAUGUUUUAUACACAGUUGACAGUAAUAUGUAUUCUAUAGCUAUUGAGUGCAAUCUAGUAUGUCAUAUUUGUUAAUUGCAUUGUUCCAAUCUUGUAUCUUUUAUAUUUUUCAUCUACUUAAUCUAUCAGUUAAUGAGAAAAGUUGUUAAAAUGCUCAGUGUGAUUGUCGAUUUGUCUAUUUCUCCUUAGAGUUCUAUCACUUUUAGCUUUAUAUAUUUUGAGGAUUUGUAAUCAGGUGCAUACACAUUUAAAAUUUUUAUCUUCCUAGGGAAUUAAAUCAUUGUGAAAGUUUCCUCUUAAUCCAGAGUAAUGGUUUCUACAUUUUGUCUACUUUGUCUGAUAUUAAUAUAGUUACAACCACUUUCUUUUGGCUAAUGUUUGUGUUGUGUAUUUAUUUUGCAUCCCUUUAUUAUAAACCUUUUAAUCCUGUUUCAGUUAUCCAUCCAUGAGUAACAAACCACCCCAAACCUUAGUGACUUAAAAACAGCAAUGUGUUCUCUCUCUUGGUUCUGUGGUUGAUUUGGCUCAGCUCAGCAGUUUUCAUUUAGGAGGGGAUCGCUCAUGUAGCUGCAGACUUACGGUAGCAGUUGCUGGAAUCAUGUGAGGGCUUGAUUUGGCUGGAUAGCCAAUCAAUUUUUUCGUGAAUUAUCUCCAGAUACAGACGAGACUUGUUGA
Molecule: long non-coding RNA, 1641 nt
Organism: Equus asinus (donkey)
Lineage: Eukaryota; Metazoa; Chordata; Mammalia; Perissodactyla; Equidae
Source: Ensembl